GGUUCCGUGGCCCAAUGGUAGGGCGCUAGAUUUCGGUUAGCUAGUUCACAGCUUCUCAAUUCUCUAGAGAUUGUCGGUUCGAGUCCGGCCGGGAUCG
Non-coding RNA from Xylaria palmicola, 97 nucleotides. NCBI's taxonomy places the organism in Eukaryota, Fungi, Ascomycota, Sordariomycetes, Xylariales, Xylariaceae. The record is from the annotation of a GenBank genome assembly.